GCAUUGGUGUUUCAGUGGUAGGAUUCUCGCCUUCCAUGCAGGAGACCUGAGACUGAGUCUCAGCCAGUGCU
RNAcentral lists this transfer RNA (71 nucleotides) under Loxodonta africana (African savanna elephant). It matches the Rfam family "tRNA". Rfam says of the family: Transfer RNA (tRNA) molecules are approximately 80 nucleotides in length. The record is from Rfam by way of RNAcentral. Lineage: Eukaryota; Metazoa; Chordata; Mammalia; Proboscidea; Elephantidae.